AAGCAUAAGAAAGAAUGGGAGUGACAAGUUAGGCCCUCCCUAUGCAACAAUGCGAGGUGAAUAACUAUGCAUUGGGCCGGUGGCGUUGUCUUCUGAGUAUGAGGGUACCUCUGAGUAUGAGGAUGGGUGUUGGCCUUGUGGGACCACUAGACUAUGGCAUAGUGGCCAGAAACCUACCAGAGUGAGCACCUAGAUCCCUAACAACCAGUACUAUCUGCUAACGUGGACCCAUGUAGAAUGGAGUCUGAGAACGUAUGCCUCUGCGCGGCCGGGUCGUGGACCCUAUUAGACUAGAGUCUGAGAACGUAUGCCUCUGUGUGGCCAGAUAGUGGAUCCAUUUAGAAUAGCGACUGAAAACGUAUACGGACCGGAAUAAGUAAAAGUGACCUACCCCACAGUUGGACAAGAGGCAAGAAAGGCAAAUGCUGCCAGGAAGGACGAGCUCCCCGGCAGGACAAUGGUUGGAUGAAGCAUGCCACCCAGAUAAGCAAAACCUGGGCCUACACUAUAGAGAAGGGAAACCGAGGAGGGUAUAGAAUCAUGGUAAAAAUAAGUACAAAACCAUGACCAACCCAGAAAAGACCAAAGGUUCAGAGCCAUCUGGCGAUCCAGGUCAAGGGACAGAGACCCAGUAACAAGAGUAUACCAGCGAGUACCUAAGAGGCGUAAUAGAGCGAACCUCAACGCUGAAAAACGCCAAUUAAGUGAAUGGGAUAGGCAUACACCAGACGAGCGAGCAGGGGAGAGUCACUAGAAAUAGCAAAAUACACGUUGCUAAGUCACAUAUACCCACAAUACAAUGACAACCAGCUAUUAGUAUAGUAAGUGACAUACCGUAAUAAUUUAACAUGUGUGAGAAAUAUGCACCCAUGACAUAUACCGGAUUAUGAAAUGUGAAAACAUAAUGCACUCGGAGCAUAAUUUUUUU
Non-coding RNA from Pelobates cultripes (western spadefoot toad), 928 nucleotides. NCBI's taxonomy places the organism in Eukaryota, Metazoa, Chordata, Amphibia, Anura, Pelobatidae. The record is from the annotation of a GenBank genome assembly.